This 497-nucleotide ribosomal RNA is filed under the name uncultured bacterium. Its description in RNAcentral is "partial 16S ribosomal RNA". It matches the Rfam family "Bacterial small subunit ribosomal RNA", at positions 28 to 507 of the family's 1533-position model. The record is from RNAcentral.
GAUGAACGCUGGCGGCGUGCCUAAUACAUGCAAGUCGAGCGAACGGACGAGAAGCUUGCUUCUCUGAUGUUAGCGGCGGACGGGUGAGUAACACGUGGAUAACCUACAUAUAAGACUGGGAUAACUUCGGGAAACCGGAGCUAAUACCGGAUAAUAUUUUGAACAGCAUGGUUCAAAAGUGAAAGACGGUCUUGCUGUCACUUAUAGAUGGAACCGCGCUGCAUUAGCUAGUUGGUAAGGUAACGGCUUACCAAGGCAACGAUGCAUAGCCGCCCUGAGAGGGUGAUCGGCCACACUGGAACUGAGACACGGUCCAGACUCCUACGGGAGGCAGCAGUAGGGAAUCUUCCGCAAUGGGCGAAAGCCUGACGGAGCAACGCCGCGUGAGUGAUGAAGGUCUUCGGCUCGUAAAACUCUGUUAUUAGGGAAGAACAUAUGUGUAAGUAACUGUGCACAUCUUGACGGUACCUACUCAGAAAGCCACGGCUAACUACGUG